Molecule: ribosomal RNA, 253 nt
Filed under: uncultured bacterium
Lineage: Bacteria
Description: partial 16S ribosomal RNA
Rfam family: Bacterial small subunit ribosomal RNA
Source: RNAcentral
UACGGAGGGUGCAAGCAUUAAUCGGAUUUAUUGGGCGUAAAGGGCGUGUAGGCGGUGAGAUAAGUCAAAUGUGAAAUCCCGGAGCUCAACUCCGGAACGGCAUUUGAAACUGUUUUACUCGAGGGUAGGCGGAGAAAAUGGAAUUCCACGUGUAGCGGUGAAAUGCGUAGAUAUGUGGAAGAACACCUGUGGCGAAAGCGGUUUUCUAGCUUACUCCUGACGCUGAGGCGCAAAAGCAAGGGGAGCAAACAGG